AAACAAAGUCAACAUAUACAUAUUUUCAUUUUUACUGUGUAAAAAACAUCUCAGAAUAAUGAAAUGAAUAAUGAAUGUGACUGUAUCACAUUACAGAAUCGCACGUGUAUAUUUUCAAAACUAUCUUGUGAAAUCAGCAAGGUCGCCCUUAAAUAGUUUUUGGAUGGCAGCGUUCUAAAGACCGCUCGCAGCUACUCAUUCGGCCGGAAUUAUGCCAGCAGUUGAGGCACAUUUUUUUAGGCAUCUCCGAAGACAGCCGAUAUCUUCGUUAUUUUUCAACAUUUCUGUAAAAAAAAACCUUAAAAUAUACCUUAGUACGUUCAAAGAAGUUCGAAA
Bactrocera tryoni is the source of this 336-nucleotide long non-coding RNA. RefSeq lists it as uncharacterized. The record is from RefSeq and is a predicted model, not a curated record. The transcript is spliced from 4 exons. NCBI's taxonomy places the organism in Eukaryota, Metazoa, Arthropoda, Insecta, Diptera, Tephritidae.